GGACUGGUUGGAUCUCCUUACAAUCCAAGGGACUCUCAAGAGUCUUCUGCAACACCACAGUUCACGCAGGGAAGCAUAACCUUCACUUACACAAACCCAAUCCUUUCACAUCGCCAACACUAAAACCAGUGCAUUUGCUGUUUCUAAGGACGGAUCCGUCCCUUGAUGCUUCAUUUUUAGGGCAAGAGGAGGGCCUAAAAGACUCAAGAAGACGCGCACCCUUUACCAAAAAUGAGAUGUCUAUGGGGCGGCCCUCCACGCCCAAAGACCGCCCCCUGAAGGACUAGCAACAGAGAGGUAAGCAGGGAAGGGAAGCAGAAAAGGGCAGACCAGCUACGCAGGCGGACUCUGGGGCGGGAGAGGUGGCAGUGCUCGGAGACAACGGGGAAGCCCCCCGGCCCGGCACUGGCACGUAACAAGAGAUAGGAGGCUGGGCGCCAUGCGUGUGCGGUCGUAGGUGGAUGGCCCGGAUCAGAGGUGCGGCGGCAGGCGCGGGAGAAGCGGCCAAGGGCGGUCCCCAAGGAGCGGGCUCUGAGUGGACGGCGCCAACCCAAGCCCCGCCGAGCGCCCCUCGAGAGUGGGGCCGCGGACCGUCGCCGCCGUCCUCAGGCCUCUGCUGGGGCCACCGGGCCCGCCUCCUUCAUGCGCAGGCUCGUUAACCAGGAAGACGCGGGUGGGCCGAGUCAAGAACCGGAAGUGCCCGGGCGCACCGGCAACCUUCCCCGGAAGCCCGCCAGCCGGAACAGCCCUGAGGCCCCGCCCCUCGACGGAAUGCUGGGUUGCUGGGCAACCGGCGCGGGCGCCGCGGGAGGGUUCGGUGGUGCACAGAGCUGUCCCUGUGUAGCCCCUACUUCCUGCCCUGGCAACCUCCCGGCCCGCCCGCCUCCCUUCUUGCCGCCCCUCCUCGCAUCACGGAAUCCCUGCCCUUGGCACUACGUGCACCUCUCCGGCUCCCACGACACUCUAGUGCCCACUUGCUUCGAAGCCAAGCUUCAUCGAAAGGGAAGCGGGCCGACCCCGGGCGCGACCUCCACGUUGGCUGAGCGCGCCUCUCCAGCCAUGGCCACCUACACCUACACCAGCCGGCCCCGGGCCCUGCCCUGCCAGCGCCGCCGUUACCGGGACGACCUGAUGCAGCAACCUGAAGAACCUGUGCAUUAUGGAAACAUAAUGUAUGACAGAAGGGUGAUCCGAGGCAACACUUACGCUCUACAGUCAGUACCACUGCCUGGGCAACCUGAUCCUGUAGAGAUUCAGAGACAGCAGCAGGUUAGGAGGAGGGCUUUUGCCAGAAAACGAGCCCAAGAACAGCUCAGACCACGUACACCCGAACCCGUGGAAGGCAGAAAACACGUGGAUGUGCAGACCGAAUUAUACCUUGAAGAAAUUGCUGACCGCAUAAUAGAAGUUGAUAUGGAGUGCCAGACAGAUGCGUUUUUGGACAAACCACCAACACCACUCUUUAUUCCUGCCAAAACUGGCAAAGAUGUGGCCACCGAAAUUCUAGAAGGAGAGCUGUUUGACUUUGAUCUUGAAGUUAAACCAAUGUUAGAAGUUUUGGUGGGAAAGACCAUCGAGCAGUCUCUUCUGGAAGUGAUGGAAGAGGAAGAGUUGGCGAACCUGCGGGCCAGUCAGUACGCAUAUGAAGAGCUUCGCAAUGUCGAGCUUGCUGAAGUCCAGCGGCUUGAAGAGCAGGAGAGGCGACACCGGGAGGAAAAAGAACGUCGGAAGCAGCAGCAAUGGCAGGUGGUUCACAAGCAUAACGAGACUUCGCAGAAGAUCGCGGCUCGAGCGUUUGCACAGCGUUACCUGGCCGACCUCCUCCCAUCAGUUUUUGACAGCCUUCGGGAUGGUGGCUACUUUUAUGAUCCCAUUGAAAGAGAUAUUGAGAUAGGAUUCCUCCCAUGGCUAAUGAAUGAAGUUGACAAAACCAUGGAGUACAGCAUGGUGGGAAGAACAGUGCUUGACAUGUUGAUUCGUGAGGUGGUUGAGAGAAGACUGAACCUCUAUGAGCAGAAGGAGGGCAGGCACGCCCCUGUGAGGCCUGAGGAUGGACUCGGCGGUCCCGGAGGAACGAGAGAGCCCCUGGUGGGUUUUGAAUCCUGGGAUCAGGGUGCAUCCCAGGCCCAGAGACCCCUUCCAGACAGAGACUCCCUACAGAGAACGCCAUACGACACAAGGUACAUGGAGAGAGUGUCGUCCCGGGAAAGGAGGCUCGCUGAAGAAGAUGAUGAACUGACAGAAAUGAGGAAGUCCUCCAAGAGGGAAGAGCUGUUGCAGUAGAGGGGAGCCUCAGUGCCGUGGAGCCCGUCGGCAGCCAGUCAGCACUGCAACCAAUCAGGAUUUACUUAAUGACAGAGCUAGUUCCACGUAAACGAAGACAAUGGAGUAACAGUUUACAUGACACUGAAAUCGCGUAGUCUUCCGAGAAGUCAGGAGGGAACAGUUACUGUGCGUGCUGCUGCUUUUCUUCUUUUCCUUUUUGGAGUGUCCGGUGAGUUGCUAUGCAUGGGGUUUUUUUCCCUAGAGAUAUUUGUGAACAAACAUGCCCCCAAUUCUAAUGAAAAGUUAUUGUUUCUUUUUUUUUUAAGGUUCAGGCUCCCCUUCUUCAGUUACUACGGACAACAAAAUAUCCCUGAAAUGAAAUGACUCAUCUUACUUCUAGUCAAUUUUUCAAAAAUCUUACUUCUUCUAUUUAGGAAAAUUUUAAAAAGUUUAAUGGCAAACAAAAGCUGUCUAAGGCACCUUAAGAACAGACUAUACAGAGGACUUAUAAAUACACAAGUUUGUUCUUUUCUAAUACUUUUUCUUUCUUGUGUUGUGUGCAUGCUAAAAUGAUUCCUAACAAGGUAAGUGAAAUAUGUUUAGGUGGUAUAGCUACAUAAAUUAUAAGAUAAUUUCAGUAGAUCUAGAGAUUACAGUGUUAUAGAUGCUUCAGCGUUAUUCAUGUAUAAAGUGUUGGUCUUUCCUUUAAUAACGUUCAUGUAAAUUCUUAAAGCAUCAUGCAUUGCUUUCUGUCGGGGGCCGUGUCAGCUAACAGUCUCCUCUGGACUCUGUCAUUUGGGUCAUGCUUCCUUCUCCUGAAAAAUGGGUCCCAUGGAAAAUCAUAUUGUUGGACGAGGGUUCUGGGUUUUUUCAAUGAGAGAACUGUCUUAUAUUAAGUGUGAUUUUUAUGUAUUUGUAUGUAAUAUGUGUAUGUAAUUUCACAGAUCUUUAUCCAAGAUCACUCUUCAUCCUUUGCAUCAAGAAGAUUUUGGCCACAACAUUUUGAAUCAUCUGUUUUCAUUUUUUGGAUGGAGGAAGAAGGGAUAAAUGAAAAUAUGAGCAUUUCUAUUUUGUGGUUGAUUCAUCUUUUCAAUAUAAAUUAUUCAUAAAACCCUUUUCUUAACGCUGUUGUUUUCUCUAGUGAGUCAGAAAAAAAACAGAAACCACUGUCUACUCCUUUCCCCUGUAAACAAAAAGCCAACAUAAAAAGAUAGGAUUCAAUAAGAAAAGGCAUAAGUAUGGCCUGUCAGACAGAUGACAGCUUAUUUG
Molecule: RNA transcript, 3534 nt
Organism: Capra hircus (goat)
Lineage: Eukaryota; Metazoa; Chordata; Mammalia; Artiodactyla; Bovidae
Gene: RSPH3
Gene name: radial spoke 3 homolog
Exons: 9
Source: RefSeq, a predicted model, not a curated record